Molecule: long non-coding RNA, 319 nt
Filed under: Gossypium barbadense (sea-island cotton)
Lineage: Eukaryota; Viridiplantae; Streptophyta; Magnoliopsida; Malvales; Malvaceae
Description: long non-coding RNA (GBAR_LNC000463)
Source: RNAcentral
UUAAAGUCGACGACCAGAAGUGAUGGUUCAGAACGGCCAUUCUUCUGACGACGACGAUGUUGGAGUACGGCUUGAGCGGCAACGACGAUGGUGGCUGCAUGCGAAAGAGUAAAAGAGGCUUUGGACUUUACCUUGAUGACUUUUUACCGUGCUGUAAUGAAGGAGAAACGCUGAAUGACGGUGGUGGAGAUUUCUUGAGGCGACAGCACAACAAAGGCGGUUAAGGUUUUGAAAAUGAAAGGGGAUAGUUCUUUCGUUCUGAAAAAUUAUAGAAGAAAUGUUGCAAAAGCUAUUGGUGAACCAGGCUCAAUCAUUAGGC